This is an RNA transcript of Microplitis demolitor, 4595 nucleotides long. It is a transcript of the gene named TBC1 domain family member 31, with no coding region annotated. The record is from RefSeq and is a predicted model, not a curated record. The transcript has 11 exons. NCBI's taxonomy places the organism in Eukaryota, Metazoa, Arthropoda, Insecta, Hymenoptera, Braconidae.
UGUCAUUUGUCACAACAUAAACAAACCGGUGAAAAAAAAUAUAAACAACUUUUCAAAUGUACAAAUAAAUAAAAAUUAACUUUAAUUAAAAAGUGAAAGUAUGUAAAAGUUUAAAAAUAAAUAAUGCCAGUAAAAGGUGACAAGUUAAUAAAAGUAGGAAAAGAUUUAUUCAAAUUAGAAGUUAAUAACCCAAACAAAAAAUGCAGUUCACGAGUAAACAUUUUAAAAUUUUGUUUUGACGAAUCUGAAGACCGCGCAGUAGCCAUUGAUUCUAUCGGUAAUUUUUAUUUACUUUCAUUAAUAAAUAAUCACUGGAUUGUUAAAAAAUUAAGUAACGUCGGGCAGUCAAGUUUCGUUGCCUUCAAUCCAAUUGAAAAAUCCGAGGUUAUUAUCGGGUUAGUGUCAGCAGAUUUAAAAGUUAUCAUAUUAGACAAAAUAUUCAACAAAUCAGAAUCAAUUGCCGACUUUUAUUUACUAAAAGGUCAUAAAUUACCUGCUACAUUAAUAACUUUUUAUAAAAACAAUUUUUUUUCCGUAUCAAGAAGCGAGGGAAUAAUCUGGGAUUUGAAAUCUUUUACGAAACUUCAUCAGUUGCGAUUAGAAUAUGGCGAAGGCGGGAUAAAAAAAGGUUUAUUGUCAUCCACUGGUUUAGUUUCAGUAAUUUAUGAAAAUGAUACCUUGCAAAUUUGGCCGUUUGAAAACUUCGGUGUCGAUAAAAAAAUUUUACUAUCGGACUACGGUUUAAAAAAUGUAAAAGACAUUAUUUUUACUGAGAACUCACGAGCGGCAAUUAUUUGUGGCGGGAGAAACAAAAUAAUUAUUUUAAAUACAAAGACUUGGUCUGUUAUUAAAAGUUUUGAAUUUUCUGAGCAUUCAAGUUGGAUUAAAAAAAUAGAAAUCGUGCCGCUGCCGCUUGACGCCGGGUCGAAUAAAAUAAUAAUCAUUUUAUUCGACGAUGGAAAAUUUAAAUUUUUUGACAUUCAUGCAAAAUCAUUUAUUGAAAAUACUGACUAUGUAGAUCAGGGCGUACGCAAAAUAACGGUAUCACCCCACGGUCAGUGGGUCGGAUUUAUAAAAUUCGAUGGGUCGUUGAUGAUAAGCUGCUUUGAUCAACUGAUGAAAGUAACAGCAGAGGUUACUAAAAUAAAAUCCGAAGCAGGAAAGAAAAAAGUAAAACCUCGGAGUAUUGAUAAGAAUUUAAAAUGCAUUGAAAAAAAUAUACAAGACAAUUUGAGACUCGAUAGACUUUUGCCGAUUUUGAAAGAAUAUGGAGAGUAUCCAGACUGUUAUCGCAGUAUCAUAUGGCGUAGUUUAAUGAAUUUGCCGAGUAACAAAAAAGCAUUUACGGGAUUAAUUAAUAAAGUACCUGGGGAUCUAAUAGUUAGACUAUUAGAUGAUCAUAAAUUAGCUGAUACUACAAAGUCGUCUGUGCUCGCAUUGACUUUUAGUAAACUGGUUAAAUUUUGUCCGAUGUUAGCAGAGUCGUCAUUUAUUCCGGAAUUUAUAUUUCCUUUUAUUAUGGUCUUUAAAAAAGAUCAUCUGCUUGCGUACGAAGCAACGCUGACGAUAAUAUUGAAUUAUUGUCAGAAAUGGUUUGAAUAUCAUCCGUUCCCGCCGCUGAAUAUUCUUGGUAUCAUUGAAAAUAUUUUGGCUGAAGUCGAUCCUGUGUUAAUUAAAUACUAUUAUGAAAAAAAUAUCACGUCGACUGUUUAUGCUUGGCCACUUCUCAAGACGGCUAUGAGCGAAGUUUUAACGGAGAGUGAAUGGCUGAUACUUUGGGAUCAUUUGCUGUCGUAUAGAAAGCCAACGUUAUUGUUGAUGUGUGUUGCUGCUUAUAAUAUUUGUUCUAAGCGUGUUAUUUUAUUAAUUAAUGAUAGAGAGAAUAUUGAAGAAUUUUAUCGACAGCCGGGACAAGUUCCGGUCAAAGAUAUUAUCAAAACAGCUUUGAGGCUUGAUCGUGAUGUUUCAGAAAGAAAUCAUCCAAAGCAAUAUCUCAAAGAAACAUUCUGUGCAUUACCACCAGAUGGACCAUAUCCAUUAUUUUUAUUCGAAGAAUAUCCUAAAUUUAUUAUUGAAAAUAAAGAAAAAAUGACUGAGUUGAUUAAUUUAAGAGAAGAAGAAAUAACUUUACGUAAAAAACGACAAGAAGUGUUGGAGAAUAUUGAGAAAAAAAGAUUAGAAGAUGAAAAGGACAAUUUUAUCAAAGAAGUUCAAAACCAGAGACUUCGAGAAUUACAACGAUGUUAUAAUGAGCAGCUUCGAGUAUCUGAAGCCUCAGUUGCUAGUGAACGUCAAAAACUCUAUCGACAAUUGCCACUGAGCGAAAGUAUAAAUCUCACAGAAAUUAAUUCUGCGAGUGAUGAAUUUAAUUCACGAUCAAGAGUUAACUCUUACAAUAAACUACGAAAUGAUGUGGAGGCACUUGAAGAAGAAGUUGGAGAAUUUUUAAAAACUAUUAAGUGUAAAAGAUAGAGACAUUAUAUAAUAUUUUAUUUAAUCUAAAGAGAAACAUUCUGUGCAUUACCACCAGAUGGACCAUAUCCAUUAUUUUUAUUCGAAGAAUAUCCUAAAUUUAUUAUUGAAAAUAAAGAAAAAAUGACUGAGUUGAUUAAUUUAAGAGAAGAAGAAAUAACUUUACGUAAAAAACGACAAGAAGUGUUGGAGAAUAUUGAGAAAAAAAGAUUAGAAGAUGAAAAGGACAAUUUUAUCAAAGAAGUUCAAAACCAGAGACUUCGAGAAUUACAACGAUGUUAUAAUGAGCAGCUUCGAGUAUCUGAAGCCUCAGUUGCUAGUGAACGUCAAAAACUCUAUCGACAAUUGCCACUGAGCGAAAGUAUAAAUCUCACAGAAAUUAAUUCUGCGAGUGAUGAAUUUAAUUCACGAUCAAGAGUUAACUCUUACAAUAAACUACGAAAUGAUGUGGAGGCACUUGAAGAAGAAGUUGGAGAAUUUUUAAAAACUAUUAAGUGUAAAAGAUAGAGACAUUAUAUAAUAUUUUAUUUAAUCUAAAGAGAAACAUUCUGUGCAUUACCACCAGAUGGACCAUAUCCAUUAUUUUUAUUCGAAGAAUAUCCUAAAUUUAUUAUUGAAAAUAAAGAAAAAAUGACUGAGUUGAUUAAUUUAAGAGAAGAAGAAAUAACUUUACGUAAAAAACGACAAGAAGUGUUGGAGAAUAUUGAGAAAAAAAGAUUAGAAGAUGAAAAGGACAAUUUUAUCAAAGAAGUUCAAAACCAGAGACUUCGAGAAUUACAACGAUGUUAUAAUGAGCAGCUUCGAGUAUCUGAAGCCUCAGUUGCUAGUGAACGUCAAAAACUCUAUCGACAAUUGCCACUGAGCGAAAGUAUAAAUCUCACAGAAAUUAAUUCUGCGAGUGAUGAAUUUAAUUCACGAUCAAGAGUUAACUCUUACAAUAAACUACGAAAUGAUGUGGAGGCACUUGAAGAAGAAGUUGGAGAAUUUUUAAAAACUAUUAAGUGUAAAAGAUAGAGACAUUAUAUAAUAUUUUAUUUAAUCUAAAGAGAAACAUUCUGUGCAUUACCACCAGAUGGACCAUAUCCAUUAUUUUUAUUCGAAGAAUAUCCUAAAUUUAUUAUUGAAAAUAAAGAAAAAAUGACUGAGUUGAUUAAUUUAAGAGAAGAAGAAAUAACUUUACGUAAAAAACGACAAGAAGUGUUGGAGAAUAUUGAGAAAAAAAGAUUAGAAGAUGAAAAGGACAAUUUUAUCAAAGAAGUUCAAAACCAGAGACUUCGAGAAUUACAACGAUGUUAUAAUGAGCAGCUUCGAGUAUCUGAAGCCUCAGUUGCUAGUGAACGUCAAAAACUCUAUCGACAAUUGCCACUGAGCGAAAGUAUAAAUCUCACAGAAAUUAAUUCUGCGAGUGAUGAAUUUAAUUCACGAUCAAGAGUUAACUCUUACAAUAAACUACGAAAUGAUGUGGAGGCACUUGAAGAAGAAGUUGGAGAAUUUUUAAAAACUAUUAAGUGUAAAAGAUAGAGACAUUAUAUAAUAUUUUAUUUAAUCUAAAGAGAAACAUUCUGUGCAUUACCACCAGAUGGACCAUAUCCAUUAUUUUUAUUCGAAGAAUAUCCUAAAUUUAUUAUUGAAAAUAAAGAAAAAAUGACUGAGUUGAUUAAUUUAAGAGAAGAAGAAAUAACUUUACGUAAAAAACGACAAGAAGUGUUGGAGAAUAUUGAGAAAAAAAGAUUAGAAGAUGAAAAGGACAAUUUUAUCAAAGAAGUUCAAAACCAGAGACUUCGAGAAUUACAACGAUGUUAUAAUGAGCAGCUUCGAGUAUCUGAAGCCUCAGUUGCUAGUGAACGUCAAAAACUCUAUCGACAAUUGCCACUGAGCGAAAGUAUAAAUCUCACAGAAAUUAAUUCUGCGAGUGAUGAAUUUAAUUCACGAUCAAGAGUUAACUCUUACAAUAAACUACGAAAUGAUGUGGAGGCACUUGAAGAAGAAGUUGGAGAAUUUUUAAAAACUAUUAAGUGUAAAAGAUAGAGACAUUAUAUAAUAUUUUAUUUAAUCUAACGGUAAAUAAAUUAAAUAUGUUUUUUUGUUUUUAAUCAAACAGUUAAUCAUGUAAAUUAUUUUUU